AGUGAACGCUGGCGGUAGGCCUAACACAUGCAAGUCGAACGGCAGCACAGUAAGAGCUUGCUCUUACGGGUGGCGAGUGGCGGACGGGUGAGGAAUACAUCGGAAUCUACUUUUUCGUGGGGGAUAACGUAGGGAAACUUACGCUAAUACCGCAUACGACCUACGGGUGAAAGCAGGGGAUCUUCGGACCUUGCGCGAUUGAAUGAGCCGAUGUCGGAUUAGCUAGUUGGCGGGGUAAAGGCCCACCAAGGCGACGAUCCGUAGCUGGUCUGAGAGGAUGAUCAGCCACACUGGAACUGAGACACGGUCCAGACUCCUACGGGAGGAAGCAGUGGGGAAUAUUGGACAAUGGGCGCAAGCCUGAUCCAGCCAUACCGCGUGGGUGAAGAAGGCCUUCGGGUUGUAAAGCCCUUUUGUUGGGAAAGAAAAGCAGCAGGUUAAUACCCCGCUGUUCUGACGGUACCCAAAGAAUAAGCGCCGGCUAACUUCGUG
Molecule: ribosomal RNA, 492 nt
Filed under: uncultured bacterium
Lineage: Bacteria
Description: partial 16S ribosomal RNA
Rfam family: Bacterial small subunit ribosomal RNA
Source: RNAcentral